This 201-nucleotide ribosomal RNA is filed under the name uncultured bacterium. RNAcentral describes it as "partial 16S ribosomal RNA". It matches the Rfam family "Bacterial small subunit ribosomal RNA", at positions 335 to 527 of the family's 1533-position model. The record is from RNAcentral.
ACUCCUACGGGAGGCAGCAGUAGGGAAUCUUCGGCAAUGGACGAAAGUCUGACCGAGCAACGCCGCGUGAGUGAAGAAGGCUUUCGGAUCGUAAAACUCUGUUGUUAGAGAAGAACGUUGUGUAGAGUGGAAAAUUACACAAGUGACGGUAUCUAACCAGAAAGGGACGGCUAACUACGUGCCAGCAGCCGCGGUAAUACA